GACGAACGCUGGCGGCGUGCCUAAUACAUGCAAGUAGAACGCAGUUGCGAACGGGGGAGUAACGCGUAGGUAACUGCCUCAUAGCGGGGGAGAACUAUUGGAAAAGAUAGCUAAUACCGCAUACUGUGAGAUGGACCUGCGUGAGAUUAGCUAGUUGGUGAGGUAAAGGCUCAACAAGGCGACGAUACAUAGCCGACCUGAGAGGGUGAUCGGCCACACGGGGACUGAGACACGGCCCAGACUCCUACGGGAGGCAGCAGUAGGGAAUCUUCGGCAAUGGACGAAAGUCUGACCGAGAAACGCCGCGUGAGUGAAGAAGGUUUUCGGAUCGUAAAACUCUGUUGUCAGGGAAGCGGUAUCUAACCAGAAAGCCACGGCUAACUACGUGCCAGCAGCCGCGGUAAUUC
RNAcentral lists this ribosomal RNA (407 nucleotides) under uncultured bacterium. RNAcentral's name for it is "partial 16S ribosomal RNA". It matches the Rfam family "Bacterial small subunit ribosomal RNA", at positions 28 to 526 of the family's 1533-position model. The record is from RNAcentral.